GUCUACAGCCAUGCCACCCUGAACAAGCCCGAUCCCAUCUGAUCUCGGAAGCUAAGCAGGGUUAGUCCUGGUUAGUACUUGAAUGAGAGACCACCUAGGAAAGCCAGGUGCUGUAGGUG
Molecule: ribosomal RNA, 119 nt
Filed under: Pteropus alecto (black flying fox)
Lineage: Eukaryota; Metazoa; Chordata; Mammalia; Chiroptera; Pteropodidae
Source: RNAcentral